This 440-nucleotide ribosomal RNA is filed under the name uncultured bacterium. RNAcentral's name for it is "partial 16S ribosomal RNA". It matches the Rfam family "Bacterial small subunit ribosomal RNA", at positions 338 to 795 of the family's 1533-position model. The record is from RNAcentral.
CCUACGGGAGGCAGCAGUGGGGAAUAUUGCACAAUGGAGGCAACCCUGAUGCAGCGACGCCGCGUGAGGGAAGACGUAAUUCGUUAUGGAAAACUCUAUCAGCAGGGGAGUAAAUGGCGGUACCUGAGUCAGAAGCCCCGGCUAACUACGUGCCAGCAGCCGCGGUAAUACGUAGGGGGCGAGCGUUAUCCGGAUUUACUGGGUGUAAAGGGAGCGUAGACGGGAGUGCAAGGCUGCUGUGAAAGGCGGGGGCUCAACCCCCGGACUGCUCUGGAAACUGGACGGCUGGAGUGCAGGAGAGGUAAGUGGAAUGCAUAGUGUAGAGGUGAAAUGCGUAGAUAUCAGGAGGAACACCAGUGGCGAAGGCGGCUGACUGGACUGCAACUGACGUUGAGGCUCGAAAGCGCGGGGAGCAAACAGGAUUAGAUACCCGGGUAGUC